RNAcentral lists this transfer RNA (86 nucleotides) under Candidatus Parcubacteria bacterium A4. RNAcentral describes it as "tRNA-Ser". It matches the Rfam family "tRNA". Rfam says of the family: Transfer RNA (tRNA) molecules are approximately 80 nucleotides in length. Their secondary structure includes four short double-helical elements and three loops (D, anti-codon, and T loops). The record is from RNAcentral. Lineage: Bacteria; Candidatus Parcubacteria.
GGAGGAGUCGGAUAACGGCUAUUCCACCGGUCUUGAAAACCGGCGCUCGAAAGGGCUUGUGGGUUCGAAUCCCACCUCCUCCGCCA